GGCGCUUUCGUCUAGUGGUCUAGGACGUCACCUUCUCAAGGUGAAUAUCACGGGUUCGAAUCCCGUAAGCGCUA
RNAcentral lists this transfer RNA (74 nucleotides) under Candidatus Levyibacteriota bacterium. RNAcentral's name for it is "tRNA-Glu". It matches the Rfam family "tRNA". Rfam says of the family: Transfer RNA (tRNA) molecules are approximately 80 nucleotides in length. Their secondary structure includes four short double-helical elements and three loops (D, anti-codon, and T loops). Further hydrogen bonds mediate the characteristic L-shaped molecular structure. tRNAs have two regions of fundamental functional importance: the anti-codon, which is responsible for specific mRNA codon recognition, and the 3' end, to which the tRNAs corresponding amino acid is attached (by aminoacyl-tRNA synthetases). tRNAs cope with the degeneracy of the genetic code in two manners: having more than one tRNA (with a specific anti-codon) for a particular amino acid; and 'wobble' base-pairing, i.e. permitting non-standard base-pairing at the 3rd anti-codon position. The record is from RNAcentral. Lineage: Bacteria; Candidatus Levyibacteriota.